CAGGAUGAGCUGAUCUAAAAGAAUUACAUUUAUUUAGAUACAGAACAUCUUUACAACCACAUCAAAUGGAAGACUUUUCAGAUGCGCAC
Molecule: long non-coding RNA, 89 nt
Organism: Sinocyclocheilus rhinocerous
Lineage: Eukaryota; Metazoa; Chordata; Actinopteri; Cypriniformes; Cyprinidae
Exons: 3
Source: RefSeq, a predicted model, not a curated record